This 556-nucleotide unclassified non-coding RNA is filed under the name Bombus terrestris (buff-tailed bumblebee). RNAcentral describes it as "misc RNA ENSBTSG00005019561.1". The record is from RNAcentral. Lineage: Eukaryota; Metazoa; Arthropoda; Insecta; Hymenoptera; Apidae.
UAUUACCAUUGCGCGUACUGCAACUUGUACCAUUACUCUGUAUCUUUUUUCAUUUUAAUAUUUCUUACAUUGUGUGGUGUAACGCGAUUGUAUAACCGUAGUAUGUCGAGUCAUUCAUUUGGUUUAUUUUGGCAUACAAAAUAAUUUUAUUUACAGUCUGACAAUAAUAUUAAUCGUUUAUCUAUAGUCCUUUAUGCUAAGUGGCGAUAGUAUAAUUCGAAUUACUUACUAUAUUAUGCGGUUUUUUCGGCUAUGUACACAACAAAACGGCACGAAUAAAUAUCAUUGGACAUGGACCAAGUUUUUCUUUCAGUGUGCAUGCUCACCGCUUCGCACAAACGAUUCGUUUCUUAGGGACAUUCGAACCUGUAGAAAAUUCAUCUUUAAAGAACAAUCGAUGGAGUCGAAAGCAUAAAUCGCUGAUCGAUUUACGUUAAACUUUGGCUAAGGUUAAGGCGUCAAGCUUGCGUCUUUUUGUGAAUUCUCAUCUUCGAUGCAGCCAUGUAUGAAGAAUUGUUAUAAGAAUUAUUCCCUUCUUAUCGUAAACUUUGGAUAG